AGCCCGGCUGAUGGGCGAAUGACUCAGAGAAACUUUAAGCAUCUGAGGUGGGCUUGUUUCCAACAAUUGGUAAAUGUUUGUGUGGUAAACUUGGAACAUGGAUGUUUGUGUGAUGGUUCAGAACGUACGUAGUAUAAAAAUCCAAAAAUUGACCAUGACUACCCUUUUUCUCUGAAACUACUGCAUAUAAAAUUUUGAACAAAAUACAGAAAUUAGCUUUUAACUCAAAAAUUUCCGGAAAAUUAUAAAAUUCAGAAAUUUUUAACUAUGAAAGUCACUUUUUGGGGGCAAGAUGGAAAACACAAAAAAAAGUUUUCAAACUGCAUCAUGCGACACAUCAAAUUAAAGGUCUUGAUGUAAGGAUUUUAAAAAUAUUGUUUUUGUUAUAAAUAGUUUCCAAGUUAUUCAAGAAAAUAUACCAGGAGAAAGGGGGGGGGGGGGUCUUUUCUCCGAAACUACUAAACUUAAAAUUAUAAUUUUAAUUCAAUUAAAAAAAAACAACACAGAAGUUAGCUUUCUACGUGAAGAUUUGAACGUUGAAAUACAGAAUGUUUUUGUCAUUUUUUUACGCGCGAAGAACCGGAAAACCUCAAAAAUAUACAAUUUUAUAAUAUGAAGGCCACUUCUGGGGGGUAAGAUGGAAUACACAAGAAAAAGUUUUUUUAACUACAUCAUGUGACACAUCGAAUCAGAGGCAUCGGUGAGAGGAUUCUAAAAACAUACGCCAACGUAGAGCCCUGUUGAGUCUCCUGUGGACUCUUGGGGACCCCCUGGACCACUUUGGAAAUCAAUGCUCUAGAAGUCUAGAGCCAAGGUAUCCGUCGGUCACACGUGGUACACGCCAUUUCUAUUGCCUUGUUAUUCCGAUUUCUAUGGUGUGAACGCUGUGUCAGUUAAAACGAGAUAAGUCAGCUAAUGUACUCUGUAUCAGACAUGUUUUUUCAUAUUUCGGCACAGAUUUAAAUAAAUCUGUGGUGUGAUGUAACUAUUCUUUGUAUUUCGGUAUUAUGUCCAGGAAAACAUGAAAAAAAAAUUAUACGUUGACAAGUUAUUUAAAUGGUCUAAGGUUGACAAUAAUUGUGGAUCUGA
Bicyclus anynana (squinting bush brown) is the source of this 1089-nucleotide long non-coding RNA. RefSeq lists it as uncharacterized. The transcript is spliced from 2 exons. Lineage: Eukaryota; Metazoa; Arthropoda; Insecta; Lepidoptera; Nymphalidae. The record is from RefSeq and is a predicted model, not a curated record.